GACGAACGCUGGCGGCGUGCCUAACACAUGCAAGUCGAACGGGACCAGGGGCAACUCUGGUUCAGUGGCGGACGGGUGCGUAACACGUGAGGAACAUGACCCUUGGCGGGGGAGUAGCCGGCCCAACGGCCGGGUAAGUACCGCGUACGACCACAUGGGGACAUCCCUGAGUGGUGAAAGCAGCAAUGCGCCGAUGGAGUGCCUCGCGGCCUAUCAGCUAGUUGGUGAGGUAACGGCNCACCAAGGCGACGAC
This 253-nucleotide ribosomal RNA is filed under the name uncultured bacterium. Its description in RNAcentral is "partial 16S ribosomal RNA". It matches the Rfam family "Bacterial small subunit ribosomal RNA", at positions 28 to 280 of the family's 1533-position model. The record is from RNAcentral.